This 2841-nucleotide ribosomal RNA is filed under the name Tetraselmis marina. RNAcentral describes it as "large subunit ribosomal RNA". It matches the Rfam family "Bacterial large subunit ribosomal RNA". Lineage: Eukaryota; Viridiplantae; Chlorophyta; Chlorodendrophyceae; Chlorodendrales; Chlorodendraceae. The record is from RNAcentral.
GUCAAAUAAAUUAAAGUUGACGGCGGAUACCUAGGGACUCAGAGAUGAUGAAGGGCGCUGAAACCCGCGAUAGGCUUGGGGAAGCUGGAAACAAGCAUUGAUCCCAAGAUUCCCGAAUAGGACAACCUUAUAUACUCCUUAUUGAAUUCAUAGAUAAGCAAGAAAUAACCCAGUGAAUUGAAACAUCUUAGUAGCUGGAGGAAAAGAAAGCAAACGCGAUUCCCUUAGUAGCGGCGAGCGAACAGGGAUCAGCCUAAACCAAUUUUAUUAUAUUGGGGUCGUUGGGAAAGAGACAUUAAUAAACGAAAAAGUAAAUGAAGCAGCUGAAUCCUGCACCAAAGAUGGUGAAAGUCCCGUAGUUGAAAAAAAGUUUCCUCUUAUCCCGAGUAGCAUGGGGCACGUGAAAUCCCGUGUGAAUCUGCGAGGACCACCUCGUAAGGCUAAAUACUCCUGAGUCACCGAUAGUGAAGUAGUACCGCGAGGGAAAGGUGAAAAAGAACCCCUGUAGGGGAGUGAAAUAGAACAUGAAACCGUCAACUGACAAGCAGUGGGAGGGCUUUUAAGCCUGACCGCGUUCCUGUUGAAGAAUGAACCGGCGACUUAUAGGAGGUGGCACGGUUAAAAGACUUAAUCUUGAAGCCAGAGCGAAAGCAAGUCUGAAAUACGGCGAAUGUCACUUUUUAUGGACCCGAACCUGGGUGAUCUAACCAUGACCAGGGUGAAGCUUGGGUAAAGCCAAGUGGAAGCCCGAACCCACUGAUGUUGAAAAAUCAGGGGAUGAGUUGUGGUUAGGGGUGAAAUGCCAAUCGAACUCAGAGCUAGCUGGAUCUCCCCGAAAUGCGUUGAGGCGCAGCGGUUGUCGAUGGGUUAUCAAGGGGUAAAGCACUGUUUCGGUGCGGGCUGCGAAAGCGGUACCAAAUCGUGGCAAACUAAGAAUACUUGAUAUGCUUUCCGGCAACCAGUGAGACAGUGGGGGAUAAGCUUCAUUGUCGAGAGGGAAACAGCCCAGAUCAUCAGCUAAGGCCCCUAAAUAACUGCUAAGUGGGAAAGGAGGUGAGAAUGCUCAGACAACCAGAAGGUUUGCUUAGAAGCAGCCAUCCUUGAAAGAGUGCGUAAUAGCUCACUGGUUUAGCGUUCUUGCGCCGAAAAUGGCCGGGACUAAGUAGUUUGCCGAAGCUGUGGGAUGUCAAUAGACAUCGGUAGGGGAGCGUUCCGCUGUAGGGUGAAGCGUUAUCGAAAGAAAGCGUGGACGAAGCGGAAGUGAGAAUGUCGGUUUGAGUAACGAAAACACUGGUGAGAAUCCAGUGCCCCGAAAACCUAAGGGUUCCUCCACUAGGCUCGUCCAUGGAGGGUUAGUCAGGACCUAAGGCAAGACCGAAAGGUGUAGUCGAUGGUAAACAGGUUAAUAUUCCUGUACUCAUAACAAUUUUGUACCGAGGGACGGAGAAGACUAGUAAGGAUUCGUAUUGGAUUAGAUUCCUUUUUUGGCUUCAAACUAGAUAAGAAAAAAAACUUAUUUAGUUGCCAUCGACAAUGUCAUACUUCCAAGAAAAGCUCGAACUACACAUAAAUUUACUGACCUGUACCCGAAACUGACACAAGUAGGUAGGUAGAGAAUACCAAGGGGAGCGAGAUAACUCUCUCUAAGGAACUCGGCAAAAUGGCCCCGUAACUUCGGGAGAAGGGGUGCCCCCCUAUGGGGGCCGCAGUGACCAGGCCCAAGCGACUGUUUACCAAAAACACAGGUCUCCGCUAAGUCGCAAGACAAUGUAUGGGGGCUGACGCCUGCCCAGUGCCGGAAGGUGAAGGAAGCUGGUUAUUCUUCGGAAGAAGCUGGUGACCGAAGCCCCGGUGAACGGCGGCCGUAACUAUAACGGUCCUAAGGUAGCGAAAUUCCUUGUCGGGUAAGUUCCGACCCGCACGAAAGGCGUAACGAUUUGGGCACUGUCUCGGAGAGAGGCUCGGUGAAAUAGACAUAUUCGUGAAGAUGCGAAUUAAUCAUACUUGGACAGAAAGACCCUAUGAAGCUUGACUGUAGUCUGGAAUUGGGUUUGGGCUUUUCUUGCGCAGACUAGGUGGGAGGCAGUGAUCAUUUCUUUCUGGAGAAGUGUGAGCCAUCAGUGAGAGACCACUCUUGAAGAGCUAGAAUUCUAAUGGCGGUCCUUAUAUCAGGACGCUUGACAGUUUCAGAUGGGCAGUUUGACUGGGGCGGUCGCCUCAUAAAAGGUAACUGAGGCGUACAAAGGUUCCUUCAGAAUGGACGGAAAUCAUUCGGAGAGUAUAAAGGUAUAAGGGAGCUUGACUGAAAGACCUACAAGUCGAACAGGGGCGAAAGCCGGUCUUAGUGAUCCGACGGUGCCGCGUGGAAGGGCCGUCGCUCAACGGAUAAAAGUUACUCUAGGGAUAACAGGCUGAUCUUCCCCAAGAGUUCACAUCGACGGGAAGGUUUGGCACCUCGAUGUCGAUUUCUCGCAACCUGGGGCGGUAGUACGUCCCAAGGGUUGGGCUGUUCGCCCAUGAAAGCGGGACGCGAGUUGGGUUCAGAACGUCGUGAGACAGUUCGGUCCAUAUCCAGUAUGAUCGUUAGAGUAUUGAAGUCAUUUUUCUCUAGUACGAGAGGACCGAGAAGGAGACGCCAAUAGUAUACCAGUUGUCAUUCCAAUGGCAUACGCUGGGUAGCCAUGCGUCGAGUGGAUAACUGCUGAAAGCAUAUAAGUAGGAAGCCCAGACUAAGAUGAGUACUCUCUUGAGGUCACGGGAAGAAAACCCGUUUAUAGGUGUUACGUGUAAGGUCAGUAAUGAUUUUAGCGGAGACAUACUAACAGACCAAUUGACUUUGAC